This 1994-nucleotide ribosomal RNA is filed under the name human gut metagenome. Its description in RNAcentral is "bacterial LSU rRNA". It matches the Rfam family "Bacterial large subunit ribosomal RNA", at positions 436 to 2437 of the family's 2925-position model. The record is from RNAcentral.
GCGUGAAUCUGCCGGGACCAUCCGGUAAGGCUAAAUACUCCCGAGAGACCGAUAGCGAACCAGUACCGUGAGGGAAAGGUGAAAAGCACUUCGAACAGAAGAGUGAAAUAGUUCCUGAAACCGUGCGCCUACAAGCGGUCGGAGCUCGUUAAUGAGUGACGGCGUGCCUUUUGCAUAAUGAACCUACGAGUUGCCUUUGCCGGCAAGGUUAAGUGUGACGACACACGUAUCCGAAGCGAAAGCGAGUCUGAAGAGGGCGUAUAGUCGGCAGUGGCAGACGCGAAACCAAGUGAUCUACCCUUGGCCAGGUUGAAGGCUGGGUAACACCAGCUGGAGGACCGCACCAAUAAGCGUUGAAAAGCUUCUGGAUGAGCUGAGGGUAGGGGUGAAAGGCUAAUCAAACUUGGAGAUAGCUCGUACUCCCCGAAAUGCAUUUAGGUGCAGCCUUGCGGGUUACUGAUGUGAGGUAGAGCGACUGAUAAGAUGCGAGGGCUUCACCGCCUAUCAAGUCUUGACAAACUCCGAAUGCGCAUCAGUUCUACCGCAGGAGUGAGGGCAUGGGUGCUAAGGUCCGUGCCCGAGAGGAGAAGAAUCCGGACCACCUGCUAAGGUCCCGAAAUGACAGCUAAGUUAAACUAACGAAGUCUGACUGCUAAGACAGCUAGGAUGUUGGCUUGGAAGCAGCCAUUCAUUUAAAGAGUGCGUAACAGCUCACUAGUCGAGGAGUCGGGCGUGGAUAAUAAUCGGGUAUGAAGUUGUCUACCGAAGCAGUGGGAUCAUUUAUAUGAUCGGUAGGGGAGCAUUCCAGUCAGCGUCGAAGGCGUACCGUGAGGUAUUCUGGAGCGUCUGGAAAAGCAAAUGUAGGUAUAAGUAACGAUAAAGGGGGCGGGAAACCCCCUCGCCGAAAGACUAAGGUUUCCUGAUCAACGCUAAUCGGAUCAGGGUCAGUCGGGUCCUAAGGCUCAGCCGAACGGCGAUGCCGAUGGCAGAAACGGUUAAUAUUCCGUUACUACCUUCAGGAGUGACGUGGAGACGCAGUAGUGACAGUGCCGCCAUCUGACGGAAUAGAUGGUUGAAGGGUGUAGGAGUCGAUCAUGGCAGGCAAAUCCACCAUGAGAUCCGAACCUGAUAGUAUGCCGCGUCCUUCGGGACAAGGCAAUAGUGCGCGUAAGCAUGCUGCCGAGAAAAUCCGCUAAACUUAAUCCUGCAGGUACCCGUACCGCAAACGGACACACGUAGUCGGGAUGAAUAUUCUAAGGCGCUUGAGUGAUUCACGGUUAAGGAACUAGGCAAACUGACCCUGUAACUUCGGGAUAAAGGGUCCCUACCCUUUUAUGGGAGGGCGCAGAGAAUCGGUCCAGGCAACUGUUUAACAAAAACACAGGGCUGUGCCAAAUCGAAAGAUCCAGUAUACAGCCUGACACCUGCCCGGUGCUGGAAGGUUAAGAGGAGAUGUCAUCGAUAAGAGAAGCGUUGAAUUGAAGCCCCAGUAAACGGCGGCCGUAACUAUAACGGUCCUAAGGUAGCGAAAUUCCUUGUCGGGUAAGUUCCGACCUGCACGAAUGGUGUAAUGAUCUGGACGCUGUCUCAACCGUGAGCUCAGUGAAAUUGUAGUAUCGGUGAAGAUGCCGAUUACCCGCGAUGGGACGAAAAGACCCCGUGAACCUUUACUAUAGCUUAUCAUUGAAUCUGGGCACGUGAUGUGUAGGAUAGGUCGGAGGCUUUGAAGCAGGUACGCCAGUAUUUGUGGAGCCGCUGUUGAAAUACGACCCUUUAUUUGUUUGGAUUCUAACCCGUGGAUACGGGGACAUUGAUUGGUGGGUAGUUUGACUGGGGUGGUCGCCUCCAAAAGCGUAACGGAGGCUUCUAAAGGUGCCCUCCGGCCGAUUGGUAACCGGCCUUAGAGUGUAAUGGCAUAAGGGCGCUUGACUGGGAGACUGACAAGUCGAUCAGGUAGGAAACUAGAGCAUAGUGAUCCGGUGUUUCCGUAUGGA